Molecule: non-coding RNA, 154 nt
Filed under: Clostridium sp.
Lineage: Bacteria; Bacillati; Bacillota; Clostridia; Eubacteriales; Clostridiaceae
Also listed under: 1 other name
Description: GlcN6P sequence
Rfam family: glmS glucosamine-6-phosphate activated ribozyme aptamer
About the family: This entry contains a glucosamine-6-phosphate activated ribozyme that is found in the mRNA for GlmS. GlmS is an enzyme that uses fructose-6-phosphate and glutamine to generate glucosamine-6-phosphate.
Source: RNAcentral
GAUUGCAUAACAGUAGGCUAUGGUAGUUCUACUAUGGUUGACGAGGUAAAGGGAGUAUCGAAUCUUCGGCGGAUGCCCUUUCGUAUUAUGGGAUACGUGAUAUACAGACAAACUGUCAGGUAACUGAAAAACAACAUCUGUAUAACCCAAAUAA